UUGAGAUAAUACACAAUCUGACCUAUGAUUUCAUUGACUUAUUAAUCUCAAAUCUCUUUCAAUCCCAGCUAAUGUGAAGGUGACAUACAACCAUAAAUACAUUUAAUUACUUGAAUCCUUUAUAAUUGAAUUUUUCAUGUCUCAUUCUAUGAAGUCAACUCGUUCGAUCUUUACUAUUACUUGGUAACUUGAUCACAUACACCAUUUCAACAGCUCAGAGUCGAUUGCUACCAUUCAGCACUCCUGUUUUCCAUAUCUUCCAUUGAACGAAUAUAUUAUUGCAGUGAUCAGUUGCUUCAUCCCAAAAUUUCUACCAUUGAAAGGUUAGUUUCCCUUAACUACUCAUCUUUCUAAUCUAAUAACUAUUAGAAAAUCAAUCUUCAACCUUAGUCUCAAUCCAUCAAUUAGAAAAUACGAAUAACUUGAAAUAAAUACCUUAUAUAAAUAGUUUCAAGUACGGAAUUUGAGCCUUGAAUCUUAAACUCUAUGUGUUCUUGCUUCUAAGAAUUUUUGGGAGGAAGAAAAUGAGGGAUUUUAAAGAUUUCUGCUAGUUUAGGACGACUUAAAGAGUUAUACAACGGGUUGAGAAAGUUACAUGGGGUGAAAGGACAAGUUUUCCCCUGAUUUAGUAAGAAAAAAAUGGACUUUUACGUCAGAGAGGCAAACCAGUGAUCUCCUGGCUUGCACUGCCCAAUGCCUCACUAAAAUGUCCAUACUUUUUUACUUGGAAAGAAGACUGAAAAACCUUUAAUUUGGUAGGUAGUGGGCCACCUAACUCAUUAUAUACUAGGAUUAAUGAUCGUUGGAAGUUGACCCAAGUAAGAACGUCGACUAAAAGUCAAUCGGUAGGAAAAUUUUCAACUGAACUUUGAUCUAGGAGAUUUCUUUGACCUCAAUUCAUCUACAAAGAUGUUCCCAUACAAAGA
Capsicum annuum is the source of this 926-nucleotide long non-coding RNA. RefSeq lists it as uncharacterized. The record is from RefSeq and is a predicted model, not a curated record. Lineage: Eukaryota; Viridiplantae; Streptophyta; Magnoliopsida; Solanales; Solanaceae. The transcript has 3 exons.